ACAGUUGGUCCUUAUCCCUCAUACCGUUAGAUCCCCACCGUUAACUCUUAUUUCAUUAAAUUAAUAUAAGGGCAAAUUGGUCUUUUCACGUGUGCCCUAGAAUCAUUGGUGGGGAUUGGACUUAUUUCGUAUAAAUUGUUCAACUAAGGGUGUAUUUUGUUUAUUUUAUAAACAUAAAUGACUUAGGGCUUUUUUAACCCCGUCUCCAUUGAUCGAUAUAGAGGAGGGAAAUAUGAACAAGGGCAGAGAGAAACACAAGCCAACAAACAUGCAUCUUUGGCGGUUCACCGGUCGAUUGAAGGGAAAAGGAAUUCGGUGGCAAAACCGAUGGCUUUGUGGACAAAUUCAAUCACAAAGAGGAGGGAGCAAAACAUACCAAUGGUUCGGUGGUUUCAAGGGUAGAGGAAAAACAUUGACACACUCACAGUGUGGUUAGUUGUCGGAACAGAAGAGGGCGGAGGGAGGAAAUCGGUAAGCAGAAAGGGACACAAAGGUUGCUGAGUGGUUAAAUUGGUGCCAAUCGAUGUCGACUGAGGAAGCUUCUCCAGAUUCUUCGAGAUUGAAGGAAUGAAUGGAAGAAACCGUGAAGCUUCUUCCUGCUCCGAUGGUGAUGUGAGAAGGGGAAAAGGGAGAAUCAUUCUGGAGCGACGCGGGCAGCAGUCGGUGGUGUUGGCGACUCUUAAUCGAUCGCGAGGAGGUAUCAUUGUCUUGAGGCCAUCGAAGGUUGCGGAGGAUGAAGAAGAAUUCAUUGGGUGUUUAGGUUUGCUGUGAAGAGGGCACACGUGAAAAGACCAAUUUGUCCUUAUAUUAUUUUAAUGAAAUAAGAGUUAACGGUGGGGUUCUAACCA
Long non-coding RNA from Lactuca sativa (garden lettuce), 848 nucleotides. RefSeq lists it as uncharacterized. NCBI's taxonomy places the organism in Eukaryota, Viridiplantae, Streptophyta, Magnoliopsida, Asterales, Asteraceae. The record is from RefSeq and is a predicted model, not a curated record.